GAUGAAUGCUAGCGGCAGGCUUAAUACAUGCAAGUCGUGGGGCAGCAUGAGUAGCAAUACUUGAUGGCGACCGGCAAACGGGUGCGGAACACGUACACAACCUUCCGAUAAGUGGGGAAUAGCCCAGAGAAAUUUGGAUUAAUACCCCGUAACAUAUAGAGUUGGCAUCUUCUUUAUAUUAUAGCUCCGGCGCUUAUUGAUGGGUGUGCGUCUGAUUAGGUAGUUGGCGGGGUAACGGCCCACCAAGCCUACGAUCAGUAGUUGAUGUGAGAGCAUGAUCAGCCACACGGGCACUGAGACACGGGCCCGACUCCUACGGGAGGCAGCGGUAAGGAAUAUUGGACAAUGGGCGAAAGCCUGAUCCAGCCAUGCCGCGUGAAGGAUUAAGGUCCUCUGCAUUGUAAACUUCUUUUAUUUGGGACGAAAAAAGGGAAUUCUUUCCCACUUGACGGUACCAAGUGAAUAAGCACCGGCUAACUCCGUGCCAGCCGCCGCCGUAA
RNAcentral lists this ribosomal RNA (500 nucleotides) under uncultured bacterium. Its description in RNAcentral is "partial 16S ribosomal RNA". It matches the Rfam family "Bacterial small subunit ribosomal RNA", at positions 28 to 523 of the family's 1533-position model. The record is from RNAcentral.